This is a small nuclear RNA of Homo sapiens (human), 62 nucleotides long. The record is from Ensembl. NCBI's taxonomy places the organism in Eukaryota, Metazoa, Chordata, Mammalia, Primates, Hominidae.
UAAUGUUACAGCUCUUUUAGAAUUUGUCUAGCAGGCUUUCCGGUUCUUGCGGGAAAGUCCCC